This 648-nucleotide ribosomal RNA is filed under the name uncultured bacterium. RNAcentral's name for it is "bacterial SSU rRNA". It matches the Rfam family "Bacterial small subunit ribosomal RNA", at positions 735 to 1381 of the family's 1533-position model. The record is from RNAcentral.
CAUAACUGACGCUAAGGCGUGAAAGCGUGGGGAGCAAACAGGAUUAGAUACCCUGGUAGUCCACGCCCUAAACGAUGAACACUAGUCGUCGGGAUGCUAGUCAUCUCGGUGAUGCACUUAACAGAUUAAGUGUUCCGCCUGGGGAGUACGGUCGCAAGAUUAAAACUCAAAGGAAUAGACGGGGACCCGCACAAGUGGUGGAGCAUGUGGUUUAAUUCGAAGAUACGCGAAGAACCUUACCUAGCCUUGACAUUGAAAGAAUCUUCCAGAGAUGGAGGAGUGCCCUUCGGGGAGCUUGAAAACAGGUGCUGCACGGCUGUCGUCAGCUCGUGUCGUGAGAUGUUGGGUUAAGUCCCGCAACGAGCGCAACCCUCGUCCUUAGUUGCCAGCAGUUCGGCUGGGCACUCUAAGGAGACUGCCUUCGCAAGGAGGAGGAAGGUGAGGACGACGUCAAGUCAUCAUGGCCCUUAUGGCUAGGGCUACACACGUGCUACAAUGGGGCGUACAGAGUGUUGCGAUACCGCGAGGUGGAGCUAAUCACUUAAAGCGUCUCUCAGUUCGGAUUGGAGUCUGCAACUCGACUCCAUGAAGCUGGAAUCACUAGUAAUCGUAGAUCAGCAAUGCUACGGUGAAUACGUUCCCGGGUCU